CCCUUAUGUGUGACUAGCUAACUGAAUCAUUUGUGUGUCACAAGUGAUAACGUAAAGGAAAAUAAUGAUAUUACUUUACUAUUAGUGUCGUCCAAAACUGGUGCCAGAAGACUCGGUAAGGCCAGAGACGCAAACGUUAAUCCUCUUUAUCAGGCGUAAAGGGUUUGUAGGCUGCUUUUAAAGUUUUCAGACUUAGAAUAGUUGUUUUAAAGCAAUUCUCAUUUAUAUUUUUAUAAUUGAGAAUCUUUAAAAUAUAGGUUUGGAGAUGAAUCAAAGCUAGAAUCAAAUAGAGGUUGUAAAUAGAAUACCUAGAGUAGGGCUGAUAUCCGUAAAUCCUAGGUAGAAUACUCAAAGCGAAGGCUUUCUUCCACUAAUGAUUGACGCUGAGAAACGAAGGUUAGGAUAGGAAAUAGGAUUAGAUACCCUAGUACCCCUCUCUGUCAACGAUGAAUGGUAGUUAUUAUUAUAGGUAAAUAGUAGUAGCGAUGUUAACGCGAUAACCAUUCCGCCUUGUGAGUACAAUUGCAAAAUUGAAAACAAAAAAAUUAGUCGGUCUUGAAGCAAACGGAGUGAAGCAUGUUAUUUAAUUCGUUUAUCCCGCAA
RNAcentral lists this ribosomal RNA (603 nucleotides) under Podoscypha venustula. Its description in RNAcentral is "SSU rRNA". It matches the Rfam family "Bacterial small subunit ribosomal RNA", at positions 389 to 966 of the family's 1533-position model. The record is from RNAcentral. Lineage: Eukaryota; Fungi; Basidiomycota; Agaricomycetes; Polyporales; Podoscyphaceae.